Knufia fluminis is the source of this 122-nucleotide non-coding RNA. NCBI's taxonomy places the organism in Eukaryota, Fungi, Ascomycota, Eurotiomycetes, Chaetothyriales, Trichomeriaceae. The record is from the annotation of a GenBank genome assembly.
GCUUCAGUGGUCCAACGGUAGGAUGUAAGAGCAUCUGGUUCGUGAUGGUACGAGAUCAUAGCUAACAUUCCUAAGAAUUGCCUUCCAAGCAAUUGGCCCGGGUUCGACUCCCGGCUGAUGCA